UCCACUAAGGGACUUCACUGGGGAAUGUCCAAAUAGGACUCAUCUGAGGAAACAACAGGAUGAGGUAUUACCGGUUACUGGGUAAUAAGCUCAAGGAGACAUGUGAUCGAAACACCGGUAUGAGGGUGAGAGAAUAACACGCUCAGGGAGAAUGAAUACCUAAGACCGGUAUAAGGGUGAGAGAUAUCAAACAUCCAAAAUCGUUCAAGGAAAACCUAAAAAGGUAUAUUUCA
Molecule: long non-coding RNA, 233 nt
Filed under: Lathyrus oleraceus (garden pea)
Lineage: Eukaryota; Viridiplantae; Streptophyta; Magnoliopsida; Fabales; Fabaceae
Description: Pisum sativum (pea) long non-coding RNA (PSAT_LNC006360)
Source: RNAcentral